AUGCAUCUAUUGACGGACCAGCAGCAGUUGCUUAUCUGUUGCCAAGGUUUCCACUACAGAUGCAAAAAAAAAAAAAAGUUGUUUCACUUUCUGCCAGUUUGUGGCAGAGGGGGAGGGAGAGAAAGGG
Molecule: small nucleolar RNA, 127 nt
Filed under: Sorex araneus (European shrew)
Lineage: Eukaryota; Metazoa; Chordata; Mammalia; Eulipotyphla; Soricidae
Description: Small nucleolar RNA SNORA31 (ENSSARG00000019027.1)
Source: RNAcentral